AAGAGUGUAAUAAGUACUGCUAAUACUUUAAUCCAAAAAUAAUAUUUUUGGCACUCUUA
This 59-nucleotide transfer RNA is filed under the name Cercosaura ocellata. RNAcentral describes it as "tRNA-Ser". The record is from RNAcentral. Lineage: Eukaryota; Metazoa; Chordata; Lepidosauria; Squamata; Gymnophthalmidae.